GGUAGCUUCUACAAACAGAAAUUUACUGCCAAUGAAAUUAAAUGUGUGGCUACAACAUCAAACAACCAGAAUUUAAGAAUUAUUACAGAACAGAAUAAAGUGAGGGUCUGAAGAAUUAUCCAUAAAGCAUGAUCCUUUCUAGGAGAUUAGAAAGAAUCCUGAUUUCUUGCUUCUUAUCAACAAUGUAGAACUUUCUUCUGGUUCUUUCCUUGUACAAGAGAACGCUGGGCUUUAACUGAACACAUAGCUACCCAACUAAAGCAUCUUUUGCAGCUAGAAAUGGCCAUGUGAUCAAGUUUGGAGGAACUAGAGGGGUUGGCAAGUGAUGAGUGUGACUUUGGACCACCUCCUUGAAGAUGCAGCUGCUUCCCAGGACUUCUUUCCCACUUCCCACAGGCUGGAGAGUGGGCACCCAGGCUUUAGUCACAACCACCAAGAUGACCCUGUGGGGAGGUGACAGGGAGAGAAGAUGGACCUCUUGGAGAGGAGCAGCCACUUCUCCAGCUAUGGACUGCUGACAUAAGUACUAUUUAGAGAGAGGAAAAUAAACUAUCCCGUGUAAGUCAGCCCA
Molecule: long non-coding RNA, 571 nt
Filed under: Homo sapiens (human)
Lineage: Eukaryota; Metazoa; Chordata; Mammalia; Primates; Hominidae
Description: HSALNT0383583
Source: RNAcentral